Molecule: ribosomal RNA, 242 nt
Filed under: uncultured Porphyromonadaceae bacterium
Lineage: Bacteria; Pseudomonadati; Bacteroidota; Bacteroidia; Bacteroidales; Porphyromonadaceae
Description: partial 16S ribosomal RNA
Rfam family: Bacterial small subunit ribosomal RNA
Source: RNAcentral
CACGCAGUAAACGAUGAAUACUAGUUGUUUGCGAUAUACAGUAAGUAACACAGCGAAAGCGUUAAGUAUUCCACCUGGGGAGUACGUUCGCAAGAAUGAAACUCAAAGGAAUUGACGGGGGCCCGCACAAGCGGAGGAACAUGUGGUUUAAUUCGAUGAUACGCGAGGAACCUUACCCGGGCUUGAAAUGCAGAAGACGAAGGAUGAAAGUUCUUUUCCAGCAAUGGCUUCUGUGUAGGUGC